UGAAAUAUCCGACGUUGCCCAUUUAGCC
RNAcentral lists this small RNA (28 nucleotides) under Bombyx mori (domestic silkworm). Its description in RNAcentral is "ovarian small RNA-30557". Lineage: Eukaryota; Metazoa; Arthropoda; Insecta; Lepidoptera; Bombycidae. The record is from RNAcentral.